RNAcentral lists this unclassified non-coding RNA (190 nucleotides) under uncultured Pezizaceae. RNAcentral's name for it is "sequence contains ITS2". Lineage: Eukaryota; Fungi; Ascomycota; Pezizomycetes; Pezizales; Pezizaceae. The record is from RNAcentral.
AGAAACUCUCAGGCACGGCUUCUUUGGCAGGCCAGGAUAAAGUCAGAGAGGCAGGUGACCUGCAGUCACUCUGCCCUUGGUAAAACCAUGGAUAUUUUGAAGAUUUGUUUCAUUCUAACGUGAUAGAAUGUUUCAUUCAUUGGUAUUGUCAACGUGAGAUGUUGCCAAAAGACCUACAAAAUUCUUGUCG